This 374-nucleotide long non-coding RNA is filed under the name Elaeis guineensis (African oil palm). RNAcentral's name for it is "long non-coding RNA (EGUI_LNC063239)". The record is from RNAcentral. Lineage: Eukaryota; Viridiplantae; Streptophyta; Magnoliopsida; Arecales; Arecaceae.
CCUUUGGUGAACGCCUCCAGGCCGAACUGGACGUUCAGCUCCCUCAUCUCCGCAGAGGCCUUGAACUCCUCCACCGCAAGGGUCCUGGCCUCCGAGACCAGAACCGGAGUUUGCUCGGCCAGAUGGGCGACCUCGGCCUCCGCCUUUCUCGCCGACUCCUCCAAGCUUCGUCUCUCCUCCUCCCGGGCUUGUCUUUCCUCUUCCCGAUCUUGCCUCUCUCUCUCCAGGGCCUCCCGGAGGGCGGCCACCUCGGCCGUCUUCGCUUGAAGGCGGGCAACCUCAUCCUGGCAGCGCUCCUCCGCCCGAAGAAGGUCCCUUCUCAUGCGUCCCGACGCCUCGACAUAGGCGAAGAGCUGGUGCCCGAUCUGCAAGGA